Long non-coding RNA from Numida meleagris (helmeted guineafowl), 5119 nucleotides. RefSeq lists it as uncharacterized. NCBI's taxonomy places the organism in Eukaryota, Metazoa, Chordata, Aves, Galliformes, Numididae. The record is from RefSeq and is a predicted model, not a curated record. The transcript has 2 exons.
AACUCCUUUUGUCCCGCUCCUCCAAGCUUCCCAUCAGGGGAAAUAAAGCACCCACUGCUCCGCUCCGCACCGCUGCAGUAACACCCAGACCUCAACGGCGACGACGGGUGACAUAGAGGGGUUUUGCAAGGUGCUGGACCAGCAUCCCGUGCUCUCCAUCAGAAGCCAGAGGGCAAACUGGCUGCUGCCACGCUCGUGGGAGCGUUCGUUUGCAAGGUGACUGAGCUGGGCCGGCCCCGUUACACACUCAAUAAUUCAUGAGGGCAAACGGCAGUGAGCGUGCAAGCCAGGGCGAGGAGGAGCAAAGAACAUCAGCACUCAGCUUCCGGAGGGGCUUGACAAACACAUCGAGCAGGUGUGCGCGUGCACGUGCACCUCGCUGCUUCUUUGCUGAGGGACGCGUGUGCUCGGCGUGGCAGAGAAAAGGCUUUGGGAUGCACCCUGCAUUGCGGUGCCCACCGAUGCACCCCGACACCUCCCGGGGCAGCAGCACACCAAGGGCGAGCCGUGUAGGCCGAAGCUUGCUGAGUUGCAGUUUACUCGUUAUUUUAAUUUUACUUUCUGCUUGUUGCUGUCGUUGCUUUUGUUGUUGUUGUUGUUGUUGUUUUUAAGGUAGAAAAGGCCCAGCUGAGUGCCAAAGACGUGUUGGUGCCAAGCCCUCAUUAGCGGAGACCUCUGGGAUGCUGCUCCUCCACCUUGGCUUCUGAAGUGGUUUGUGCCGGUGCCUUUCCCCACGAUCCCAAGCCCAGAUAGUCACUGGGUCAUGCCAGGCCUUGGGGGCCCCGUGCAGAGCUCUGGGUGCCUUGCACAGGGCUGGGCGCCCUGGGUGUGGUGUGCAAGGAGCCUGCUGACCCUCGAGGCUUUGCAGAACGUGCCAGUGCCUAAAAAUCAUAGCAUCCUUAAGGUUGGGAAAGACCACUAAGAUGUAGCCCAACCAUCAACCCAUCAGAGGCAGCAGAUCUUGCAAGUGUGGGAUCUGGGUCCAGCCCCCCCCACGCCAUAUAGAAAGCUCUGGAAAUGAUCUCCAAGCUCUGUGCUCUGUCACAACCAGCCUCCGAUCAAUGCCUCUUUGUUAAGCACCAUGUGAACUCCGCUCUGCUUUGCACAACCUUGCCUCCGCUGAGCGUCUCACCGAUUUCUCUCUCCCGUUCCCUGAUACUCAUCUCACCCCAAGGGCACUGAAACAGCCCUUGGCAGCGGUGUGCUGAGCCGCCCUUUGGUGGGGCAAUCUCACAGCUGAAGCAAAUGUCACAGGAAUCAGUCCUAAUAGACUUCACAUCACUUGGAACUAAGGGGGAUGCCGAGGUCACAGCAGCUGGACCUCAUUAAAGGGCAAAGCAAUGCAUCAUGCUCCCACCUAUAAAAGCCCUUGCACCAAGCACCUUAUUCUCAGUUAGCUCCUUGCACUGUGAGGUCUGUAAGGAGCACUGUCUUGUCCCUGGGUUUGCAUGCUUUUAGGCAAAAGCACCUCAAGCAGAUGCCCAAAGACCCUUUGUGAAAGGAGAAAUGGGACAGAACUGUCCAGCUGUUGGUGAGCUUUGUGUUUUGUCUUCUUUCUUUUUCUCCUCCUGAUAUUUCUGAGUUCCUAUCCCGACCCCUUUCUAUUUUUACGUGAAGAUCAAGGUCUGAAAUGAAGCCUUCCCGGGGCAGAAUGCAGUCAGCCCAAGGGAUCACCCCAGGUGUGUUAGGCAGGGUGAGACAUGGGAAAGAAGAUCCCAAAUCCUGGGAGGGGAAUUUCAGGUGGCAGGAUGCAAAGGUUUGAAGUGGUGCUUGGCCGAGGUGUUGGGAGUUAAUACCUUGCUUCCUACCAGGGAGGGAGUCAGUAUGGAUUGCCAGGCACUUAGAGCAGUGCUUGCCUCACCCUGCUUAGUCAGUGCCUGCAGCCCACUGAGGAGUGCUGCCUUUGACUCAUGGCCUCUGCUUCCUGCAGCAGCAGCACACUCUUACUUUUACUGGAACUCUUUGUCAUGCGCUGAUUCACCUUAGUCCCCAGUGACUCCCAAAGGGAAGAGGAGGGGAGGGCUGCCUUCCCAGAACAAGGGGAUGGGGCCACAGACCAGGUGGCAAUGCUGCACCCGGAGGCUGAAGUUUGGAGGUGGCACUGUGGUGCAAGAACUGCAAGCCCAAGCAUCCCUUCCCCCAGCCAAGAGCUUUAUGAGGACUGACAGGAGGUAGCAGCCCUCCAAUGGCCCAGCUGGCUCUCAUCCAAUCCCCCUCCUCCCAUUAGAGAAAAAGAGCAGGCUGGCUUGUAAAUAGGAAGUGCAGGGCUUUGUACUUUAGGUCACUGGUUCUUAUCUAGCACCAGUGCAUUGUAGCAGCACGGAGGAUCAGUCAAUGGAUUGUAUUGAGCGAGCUCUCUAGUCAGCCCUUUGCUGGCUGUAUGCUGGGACAGGAUGGGGAGAUGCCUUGGGAUAAAGAAGGGUUGCCUUCUCCUGCCUAGGCAGCAUUUCCUCUUUGGAGAAAUGGAGCACAAAGCAGCCUCAGGGUGCACUUGAAUGAAAGAUCUUUCCCAGAGGGUCUGCUCCGUGGAUGCUGCCCUUGUUCUGUGAGGGUUUAGGAAGCCUGCUCAUCAAGCCAUCACAAAGGCCCUCACCAAGACCAAAGCCACGACUGUCCUAGGUGCUCUUCAUAGAGAGAGAUGAAAGAAAAGCAGAUGACAGGGUGAGACCAGCCACAGAUCAAACAGCAGAGCUGAACACCAGGCUACUAGCUCUUGCUGUCUGUGCUUCCACCUUGCAAGCAGCCCGGUUCUAGUUCUCUAGAAGGGCUGUGAACCUGAGGAGUGGGAAGGGAACAGCCAUGCCUCUUUGCUCCCGGCCUUCCCUCAUUGCUGCACCUCUCCUGACUUUCGCACAGCUGCUUUGCUUCACCUUCAAGUCAAGGGGAGGGGAGCAUGCCCUGUGGCAGGAGCAGGGAGGCUGGCAGAGCAGGGUUCUGGCUGCGAGUGCUGAUGCAGCACUGGGAAAGGCCUUCCUGCAAUAAAGCCAUGAAAUCCCGUGCUCAGCAACAAAGCACAAAGGCUCUCAGUCAUGGUGGAGCAGCCGGCUCCCACUGUCCCGCCCCACUGGCACGUCAGCUAAUCCCUGGUGAGGCUGCUGGUUCCCACACCUGAGCACUGGGCUGCUCACUGUGCAGCCCGUCCCUCCAGGCCUUUGGGCUGGACCUUGCUCCAGCUCCUUCCUUAGCUCUUUUCCCACCACGUGUGCUUCCAGAAAGUGGCUUUAGGACUCCCAUCUCCUUUCCCUUGUGGCUUUGUGUGACUUAUCACAGUGGGUCACGUUUCCUGCAUGCCAGCUGGUCUCCAUCACCAAGGAGCCUCUCAAGCUGCUCUGCAGGGCUUGUUUCCUCAAUUUAUCUUCACCAGUUUUCAGUCCUACCCAUCCUCCCAUCCUUCUUGGAUCUCCCCAGCACCAUUACAACCCAGUGCCCUCGCUUUUUCCCACCCCCUAGCCACUAGUUCCUCUUGAAGGGCACUGACGAAUGCAUCUAGGGCCAUGGUUCUGCACAAGGAAAAGCAGGUAGGUGGCCAAAGAACAAGACCUCAAAGCCCUGUGUCCCCCCGGAGUCACCUCCUUGCUCAUCAGUGAGGAAAAACAGAGGUCCUCCUGUGUACCACCUCUCUGUAAGCAAGAGGGAAGCUUGAGUCUAGGCAUGUUUGGCUUGAGAGGGGGUGCAUUCAGAACCAGUGUUAAUUCAGAGCUGGGGUGGGGAAGUGAGGGCAGCAAAGAACAGUACAGCUGGAAAAUGAAGUGUGGGGGGAGGUGGGAAAGAGGCAUUGAGGAAGGGGAAGGCAGUUCAGCUGGGACUGUCCCGAGACCCUAUGUUGAUGGGCUGGGCCCCAAAUGUAUGGAUUCAUUAAGGUUGGACCAUGAAGGUCAUCGAGUCCAACCAUCAACCCAUCCUCACCAUGCCCCACAUAUGUGAGUACUUUCUCUGCUUUGACUCUGCCCUGGAUUUCUGCAUUCCCUUGGAUGUUGUUCAAAGAGCCCCAGUCCAGGGCUAAAUAUUCUCACUAUCAGAGCUCCCCAGGUGCCGAGGAGAGACUUAAUGAAGAGCUGUGAAGAGGGGAUCAAGAUAGCAACCCAUAAAGAGCCUCAUUUCCGAAAUGAAGGAACUUGAGUCUGAAGAGAUUCAGUGGGGGAAAAAAAAAAAAAAAACCAAAAAAAAAACCAAAAAUAAACUCGAUGGCACAGAAAGAGCACGUCCAAACCUUCCUUGCCCGGGCUGCCAGCACAGAGCAGGAACAGGAAACGGGAGCUCUCAGGGCUCGGCUGCUGUGACUCACCCUCAUCCCGAUGGGAACGCGACAAAGCCGAAACUCUGCUGACUCAGGUGUGACUUAGUCCAGCAGGGGCAGCCAGCUUCUCACCGCCCUCGUUCCCUCUGUCCUGACUCAAUUCAAGGCCCUUCCAAUCAGUGGGGAGAUGCAGCUCCCAGGGAGUUACCAACAGAGGCAAACUCUCUGGUCUGAUGCCCAAGAUGUGGUGACAACCCCACGCCAAACCACGCUGGUGGUGACCAGGCUUGGAAUUUUUGUGGAGAUGAAGAUUCUCAUUUCCCUGUAGUUUAAAGGCUUGCUAACCAGUCACAGCUUUCUGGCUGCGGUCUUGCUUUCUUCUUGUCUUAUCCUUGGGGUAUGUCAUGCAUUGCUGGCUGUUUCACGAGCUCCUUAAGUUAAGAGAAACAUUUGCUACUAUUUCAAGUGGGAUAUGCCAUGCUCUGCGCUGCUAUAAUUUGUCCAAAGAUAGAAACGAUUAACAUUGUUUUGUGACCAGAAAAAAGAACAGAAGUUCUUAUGGCUCCUAACCCAUCAGAGCUGGCAACCAGAAGUAAUCUUUGCCACCAACGUGGCGUGGCACCCAUCAAACACCAGGGAUGGACGCCCUUUGUGCUGCCUGUGCUCUCCCUCAUAAUGGGUUUUCUUCUGCUUUACAGGUAUUUCUCCAUGAGAGUGGAAGAGACUCAGAACUCCCAAGCCUGGGAAGAACAACACGUCCAUCCUGAUGAUCUCUGCAUCACAUGGGCGCCCUGCAACAGUCCUACCUGCACCUGCCUGCAGGAGUCGGUCUGCGUGGUUAUGGAAAGCGCUGAGUCUUCAAAGGGCUUCUCAGAAGGUAAC